UACGGAGGGGGCUAGCGUUGUUCGGAAUUACUGGGCGUAAAGCGCACGUAGGCGGUUCGGCAAGUCAGAGGUGAAAUCCCCAGGCUCAACCUGGGAAUUGCCUUUGAUACUGUCGGACUAGAGUCCGGGAGAGGGUAGUGGAAUUCCCAGUGUAGAGGUGAAAUUCGUAGAUAUUGGGAAGAACACCGGUGGCGAAGGCGGCUACCUGGACCGGUUCUGACGCUGAGGUGCGAAAGCGUGGGGAGCAAACAGG
This 253-nucleotide ribosomal RNA is filed under the name uncultured bacterium. RNAcentral describes it as "partial 16S ribosomal RNA". It matches the Rfam family "Bacterial small subunit ribosomal RNA", at positions 524 to 776 of the family's 1533-position model. The record is from RNAcentral.